Camellia sinensis is the source of this 272-nucleotide non-coding RNA. Lineage: Eukaryota; Viridiplantae; Streptophyta; Magnoliopsida; Ericales; Theaceae. The record is from RefSeq and is a predicted model, not a curated record.
CUAUGCUGACCUUGUCGCGUAUUGGUUUUCAAAGGAAGGACAUGUAUGCAUAGAUGUAUGUUUUCAAUCAAAUAAUACAAUGUCAUUAUAUCAUUUUUUUUUAACAUAUUGUUAUGCAUUUAUGAGUGAAGGAACUUAGUACAACCAAUAAGGAAAGCAGGCGAGAGCAAACAAGUGCACAUACAGGAGGAUCUAAAACUUAUGCACAACAUGCAUAUGAUAUGGAGCAAAAAGAUAAGAUUGCACUAGAUCGAGCAAAAUUAUAUAUACCG